GCAGAAACAGAAUAAACAGGUCUUGCCAAAUUCCCCCUGUAACCAGCCACCAUUAGCAUUAGAUCACACUGUAACCAGUUUUCUCUCUCUGCACUCUUGUCAUGAGGAUAACAAAGAAUGAAGCCAACAGGACAGAGGAAAUUCAGUCCAUGGUCAGCUGGUUCCAAGGUAGAAACAUCAUGACUAAAGGGCAUGAUAAAGCAAAGCUGCUUAGUUCAUAGCAGCAGAAAAGCAGCGCAGGGGAACAGAGCCACAGAGGAAGGGGCAAGAGACCAGAUAUAGAUUCCAAGGCCAUGUCUCCAUAACCCACCUAGACACUCCCAGAAAUGUGUUUUACUAUUUCUCUGAGCAGCUCUCAGACAAUUAAGUUGACCAUCCCUCUUAAUGUUCCAGGUACCUUGGAGAAAUGACUAGAAUCUCCAGUCAUUGUCCUAUUGUCACCUCAGAUUGUAGGAAAAGCAGAGCCUUGCAGACCACACCAGGAUGAGGUCACCCUACUCCCAAGUGGGAGCAAUUACCCCAUGUCAACGUAAGCAAGAACCACAGUCAUCCCACAGUGGGAACUAAAUUGCCUUCUCAAGUGAUGACCUCUCUCCCAGAACCUCACAGAACCAAUUCUGCAAUAACAAUCCACCAGAUCAACCAGAAUUAUCCACCUUGCUAACUAUGCAACUUCCCAACCCUUACCUUUGUUCCUUUUUUCUAUAAACCUCCAAUAUUUCUAUUAGCAUCUGAAAGACCAUGCACCUCUUUAGUCAUCCUUCCCAACAUGGCCUUGCUGAUUUUCUGCCCUUCAUCACUGUUCGCCUCCUACAUUAGUAUUUUGGGAAAAGCAGCCAAUCCUAGUCUAUUGGGACCCCUGGAGCCAGAGCUUAUGCCAUAAAACUCUGGUAAUACCCUUUCUCACCAUCCAAUCAACAAGCAGUCUCUCUCUUAUCUCUCCUUAUAGUUUCCCCAGC
Molecule: long non-coding RNA, 959 nt
Organism: Heterocephalus glaber (naked mole-rat)
Lineage: Eukaryota; Metazoa; Chordata; Mammalia; Rodentia; Bathyergidae
Source: Ensembl